CUUGUAGUCCUCGGAUGACCUUGAACUGGAAACAGAUGAAUGUCGAGAAUAAUUUGUGGAAAUGUGGCUGAUAGAUGGCGUUCGCUUGCUGGCCCACCGACUAUUCAGUGAAGGAAGGGAGAAGUCUCGUCAGAGACUCCGAUCUGGUGUGUCACACGUGGGUCGCCUCGUCUCAGUCCGCCAUGAAAAGAAAAAGAUAACCGCGUAUCCACCUAAAUCCAGCCCGUCAUCGUCUCAUCGUCGUCUUCGUUUCAUCGUCUCAACGCCGUCUUCGUCUCUUCGUUUCAUUUUCCACCUCGUCUGGAAAAUGGCUUCUUUAAACCCAGCAAACAGUAUCUUGCCAGUUGCGUUUAUCUCACGCAAACCUUGGCAGUUGAAUAUAUAAACAGUGGACUUCCCUCUAAGACAGUACCGCAUUCCAGCGUUUACCAGCGAACGUAGCAGACAUGUCGCGCAGUCACUUUUUCUUGGUCGCUUUGUUCCUCGCUGUGCUAGUGGCGUAUUGCUCCGCCAUACCAGUUGAAGUCGGAAGAGUCUGCAGUUUCCGCCGUAGUCUCAACAGAUCCAACAGUUGAAAAUGCAAGACCUAAACGACAGUUUGUUGCUGGACUCUUGAUAGGAAAAGCUCUUGGAGCUGGAUACGGUUAUGGAUUAGGUCGUUCAGCUUACUAUGGCGGAUAUGGAUACUCCUAUCGUGGCUAGCGGCUACCCUGGUCCUUACGGCGAUUACGGAUACGGAGGCUACCAUUACUGGUAUGUAUUUCAACAUUUGCUUUUCGAAAUAAACGAGCUGAUUUACAGGAUCGAAUAAUUCCGAGCCAGUGCCAUUUUAGAACGUUACUGCAUUCAACAUUUCCCACAGAACGACUGGAAUGAACGGACAGAAUAAAUUUGUUAUCAGCACCUCCAUAUAAGGAAAAUUUAACAUUUCUCCAAGACUUGCUAUUGUAAAACGUGCGGAAUAGACCUGAUGCAUGACGUCUGAAAAAACUAGGAUCCGCUCUUGGAGACCGUUUGUCACUUUUUUCACGGCCAUCCUGCGGUCAUCACUUCCACAUACGUAGGCGCCAUGUGUGAUACGACGUCCCAGGACCAAUGAGCUCCAUGAGCGUCACAACAACACCACAUCAAGCAUUGCAGCUGGCAAAAUGGCAUGAGAGGUGAUGCUUUCGCGUCUUAUUCCUUGUUGGGUUUCGACCCUCCUUCCAGCACAACGAUAUGAGUCGCCUGGUAUUCGUACUCAGGGAGGACACUCGCCUAAAGAGACAAUUUGGCGGCGCGCAUGGAUUGUUAAACGGGUUUUUGUAUGGAUACGGUUAUCCUGGAUACGAAUAUGGACGCUAUUCGUAUUACGGCUAUCAGUAACCUUACGUUGGACCAGCUUAUGGACCAUAAGAUUAUUAUGGUCAUCGUUGGAAUGAAUACAGAUUGUGAAAUUCUUAAAAGAAAAUUACUGCACACACGACGAGGAACUAUUUUUAUGAAAAAGAGGUAAAAGUGGAUUAAUUAUGCUUAGCUUGUUUUGGUGAUGGUUCAGAUUUAAAUGUUGAGCAUGGAUGUUGAUUAAUACUGUAAUAGAAUAAAUGAAAUUUGGAAGUA
Molecule: long non-coding RNA, 1599 nt
Organism: Daphnia magna
Lineage: Eukaryota; Metazoa; Arthropoda; Branchiopoda; Diplostraca; Daphniidae
Exons: 8
Source: RefSeq, a predicted model, not a curated record